AUACCGACUCAUACAACCACCACGGUAGCAGAUACCAACCCAUACAACCCCCACGGUAGCAGAUACUGACUCAUACAAUGACUACAACCACCACGGUAGAAGAUACCGACUCAUACAUCCACCAGGGUAGCAGAUACUGACUCAUACAUCCACCAGGGUAGAAGAUACUGACUCAUACAACCACCACGGUAGCAGAUACUGACUCAUACAACCACCAGGGUAGCAGAUACCGACUCAUACAACCACCACGGUAGCAGAUACCGACUCAUACAACCACCACGGUAGAAGAUACUGACUCAUACAACCACCACGGUAGCAGAUACUGACUCAUACAACCACCAGGGUAGCAGAUACCGACUCAUACAACCACCACGGUAGCAGAUACCGACUCAUACAAGUGCUUUUGAAAAGUAGCCACAAGCAAAAAAAACUCUUGUGUUCUAUCGUUGGUGCGUUCAUGCAAAUGUUGUUGAUGGUAUUAUAUUUACAUACGGUAUCCGAUAAGACAUUGGACACUGGCGUUUACUCCCAGCAUGCUUUGUGAAACCACAAGGUAAACCACUUUCUACAUGUUUCAUUUUAUUAGCUCUUUAUUAUCGCCAAACAAAACCAUGUUGAUUAGGACACCUUUUCCCAGUUCAUAUUAAUAUCCUUAUAUCUGCUCUCUGCUGUUACAUCCUGUUCUUUCUGGUUUAUAAAACCACUGUUGUAUUAUUCUGAUCUGCUGCACUUUAUCUCCUCUCUGUGUGUGUGUGUGUGUGUGUGUGUGUGUGUGUGUGUGUGUGUCUGUUCAGAUUGAAGGUGCUUCUAACACAUCUAUAUUUCAUGUGAAGGGUCAGUAGUUUGAUGAGGAUUGUGUGUAUCGAGGGUAAAUUGAUGUCUGUGCCACUCCAUGUCAUGACAAAAGACACGUCAGAUAGGAUUUAAUUUAUUUUUUAUUUUAAUUUAUGGUUAGUCUAGCUGUCAAACCUAACUUUCUUUAUUCCGAAAACACUUUUUUUUUAAUGCAAAUUUAUCCACACCGUUCUGUUGUUGGUGUUACCUCCACACCAUUCUGUUGUUGGGGUUACCUCCACACCGUUCUGUUGUUAGGGUUACCUCCACACCGUUCUGUUAACUCACCGUUCUGUUGUUGGGGUUACCUCCACACCGUUCUGCUAACUCACCGUUCUGUUGUUAGGGAUACCUCCACACUGUUCUGUUGUUGGGGUUACCUCCACACCGUUCUGUUGUUGGGGUUACCGUUCCACACCGUUACCUCCCCCGUCGUCACCGAGA
RNAcentral lists this long non-coding RNA (1278 nucleotides) under Oncorhynchus kisutch (coho salmon). Its description in RNAcentral is "lncRNA (ENSOKIG00005048632.1)". The record is from RNAcentral. Lineage: Eukaryota; Metazoa; Chordata; Actinopteri; Salmoniformes; Salmonidae.